UCCCUGGUGGCGCAGCAGUAAAGAAUCUGCCUACAAUGCAGGAGACUCAGGUUCGAUCCCUGGCUUGGGAA
Non-coding RNA from Bos taurus (domestic cattle), 71 nucleotides. The record is from Rfam. Lineage: Eukaryota; Metazoa; Chordata; Mammalia; Artiodactyla; Bovidae.